This 435-nucleotide ribosomal RNA is filed under the name uncultured bacterium. RNAcentral describes it as "partial 16S ribosomal RNA". It matches the Rfam family "Bacterial small subunit ribosomal RNA", at positions 29 to 507 of the family's 1533-position model. The record is from RNAcentral.
AGCGAACGCUGGCGGCAGGCUUAACACAUGCAAGUCGAACGGGCUUCUUCGGAAGUCAGUGGCAGACGGGUGCGUAACACGUGGGAACGUGCCCUUCGGUUCGGAAUAACUCAGGGUAACUUGAGCUAAUACCGGAUACGCCCUUUUGGGGAAAGGUUUACUGCCGAAGGAUCGGACCGCGUCUGAUUAGCUUGUUGGUGGGGUAACGGCCUACCAAGGCGACGAUCAGUAGCUGGUCUGAGAGGAUGAUCAGCCACACUGGGACUGAGACACGGCCCAGACUCCUACGGGAGGCAGCAGUGGGGAAUAGUGGACAAUGGGCGCAAGCCUGAUCCAGCCAUGCCGCGUGAGUGAUGAAGGCCGUAGGGUUGUAAAGCUCUUUUGUCCGGGACGAUAAUGACGGUACCGGAAGAAUAAGCCCCGGCUAACUUCGUG